This is an RNA transcript of Mercurialis annua (annual mercury), 2669 nucleotides long. It is a transcript of the gene named heterogeneous nuclear ribonucleoprotein 1, with no coding region annotated. Lineage: Eukaryota; Viridiplantae; Streptophyta; Magnoliopsida; Malpighiales; Euphorbiaceae. The record is from RefSeq and is a predicted model, not a curated record. The transcript is spliced from 7 exons.
UUUUUUUUUUUAAAUUUUUUAAAAUCUGCUCCUUCCAUUUUCAGUGUGUCCCUAUAAAUUGCUCACACCAGACUCCACAAAACCUUCUCCUUCCCCUCUCUUCACAUUUCAUAUCUCUCCCCUGUAAAUUGGAUAAUUGAAUUGAAUUUACAUUAGUUCAUUUAGUUUAUUAUAAUUUCAAUUGAACCCAAAAAAAUUACGAGAAGAGGGCAUAUUUGUAGAGGAGGAUAAGCUAUGCCCUCAAUUUUAUAUUGAAAACCCAAAAAAAAAGUUAUCUUAAUUUUGCCUCCUCUAUUAGAUCUUAAUUUUUUUUAUGAGAUUUGCUUAUCUGGGUGUUUUUUUUAAUUGAUCGUUGAAGGAUCUGUGAAGCUUGGGAUUUUGUUUGCCAUCAUCCAAGAAUUUAGAUUGUUUCAUUUCUUAUCGAAUUUGUUUAAAUAAGUGUGAUUGAGGAGCACAUCGAAUCUAUCAGAAUUGGGAGGGAUUUGUGAUUCAUUAAAGCAAGAGAUAUUGAAGGAAACGAUGCAAUCUGAUAAUGGGAAAUUAUUUAUCGGUGGAAUUUCUUGGGACACUAAUGAGGAAAGACUCAAAGAGUAUUUUGGGUCGUUUGGCGAGGUGGUGGAGGCUGUGAUAAUGAAAGAUCGAACCACAGGGAGAGCUCGUGGUUUUGGUUUUGUUGUUUUUGCUGACCCGGCUGUUGCAGAUAGAGUCAUUAAGGAAAAGCACAAUAUUGAUGGCAGGAUGGUUGAGGCAAAAAAAGCUGUUCCCAGGGAUGACCAGAACAUUUUGACCAGGAGCACUGGUGGUAGCAUUCACGGUUCUCCUGGCCCAUGCCGCACAAGAAAGAUUUUUGUUGGAGGUUUAGCAUCCACAGUUACAGAGGCGGAUUUUAGGACGUAUUUUGAGCAGUAUGGGACAAUCACAGAUGUGGUAGUGAUGUAUGAUCACAACACCCAGAGGCCAAGAGGUUUUGGAUUCAUCACAUAUGAUUCAGAAGAAGCAGUGGACAAGGUUCUGAUGAAGACUUUUCAUGAACUGAACGGCAAGAUGGUUGAAGUUAAGCGAGCUGUUCCAAAAGAGUUAUCUCCUGGUCCUAGUCGCAGUCCACUUGGUGGAUAUAACUAUGGUUUGAGUAGGGUUAAUAGUUUCCUUAAUGGCUACACGCAGGGGUAUAAUCCAAGUACAGUUGGAGGGUAUGGACUUAGGAUGGAUGGUAGGUUCAGUCCAGUUGCUGGAGGCCGAAGUGGGUUUCCUCCAUUUGGUUCUGGUUAUGGAAUAGGUAUGAAUUUUGAGCCAGCAUUGAGCCCUACAUAUGGAGGCAAUGCUAAUUUUAGUAACAAUGUCAGUUAUGGACGGGGGAUGAACCCUUACUUUAUUGGUAAUACAAAUAGGUUUCCUAAUCCUAUAGGAUAUGAUGGAGGUAAUGGAGGUAACGGAGGAAAUAGUUCUUUUUUCAGCUCUGCGACUAGAAACUUGUGGGGAAAUGGGGGGCUCAAUUAUAACAAUACCUCUGCAAACUCCAAUACUUACAUGGGAUCUGGAAGUGGAAGCUUAGGAGGGAAUAACUUUGGCAACAAUUCAGUGAAUUGGGGUUCUUCAGCACUUUCAGUACAAGGUGGAGGAAAUGUUGUUUCCAACAACAACCUGAAUUUUGGGUAUGGAGGUGUUGAGAACAGUUUUAGUCUGGGCACAGGUGGAUAUGGAAGAAACAGCGGAAACAAUUUGGCUACAACUUCUUCAUAUGCUGCCUCCAAUGGUAGCUUGGAUGGAACCCUUGGGGACCUUUAUGGUGGAGGUUCUGAAUAUGGGGACCCCACCUGGCGAGCGUCAAACCCUGAGCGAGAUGGAUCUGGCUCCUUCGGUUACAACCUUGGGAAUGCCGCAUCUGAUGCUUCAGUAAAAAACUCUCCUGGCUAUGUUGGCGGUUACAGUGUUAAUAAGAGACAGACAAAUAGAGAUUAGGUUAUAAAGUUGAACAUCAUGCACAAAUUGUUCUAGAAUACCCAUUAAUUAGCUGAGGAAGCAUAAUCAAGGAAUUGCUGCUUAGGAGGAUCAUUUUGGUUACGAAGAAUUGUAGGUGAAGAUAAUCUGGUGAAGCAGGUGAACUGUGAAUUUCGCAUCUCCAUAAUAUAUUGCAAGUUAAAGAAAAUUGGUUAUCUAGGGCUAACCGGAGUGCCUGUUUUGAACAAUUAAAUUUAGGGAUUAGAAGAGAUAAGGGAUUUUUAUGUUAAGGUUUUUGAGUUUUGAUUAGGGUCUUUUGGUUUUUGGUAUGUGAGUGAAAUGAUGUACAAUCAGCUUGCGGCGUAUAGUCAGAAAUGUAUCACGCGCAUCUCUGGUGAGGAAGCGACACAUAAAAAUUAUAGACUAUUUUUGUUUUCUUUUUACCCCCUCUAGGUUUCAUGUCCUGGCGAUAUAUCUGGCGAACUCAGCGGAAUGGUCGCCAGGUAUGCGUUUCAUUUGCUCUUUUCUCAUUUUCGCCCGGCUAUUUGGGUUUUGGUUUGGGCAGAUUGUAGCAGAGGUUAUUGUUGAUUUUACUAGUGUGAAACAUUUAAGGGAUACCCAUCUAGGGUGUCCAUGAAUAAGUUACCACAUACUUUGAUUCUUUUUGUUACUUACAACAGCUCAGAAAACUUUCAUUUGUGGAAUGAAACAUUUGUAACACUUGUAUUUUA